Molecule: ribosomal RNA, 253 nt
Filed under: uncultured bacterium
Lineage: Bacteria
Description: partial 16S ribosomal RNA
Rfam family: Bacterial small subunit ribosomal RNA
Source: RNAcentral
UACGUAGGGGGCAAGCGUUGUCCGGAUUUAUUGGGCGUAAAGAGCGUGUAGGCGGCCAAGCAGGUCCGCUGUGAAAACUCGAGGCUCAACCUCGAGACGUCGGUGGAAACCAUCAGACUAGAGUCCGGAAGAGGAGAGUGGAAUUCCUGGUGUAGCGGUGAAAUGCGCAGAUAUCAGGAAGAACACCCGUGGCUAAGGCGGCUCUCUAGUACGGUACUGACGCUGAGACGCGAAAGCGUGGGGAGCGAACAGG